GACGAACGCUGGCGGCGUGCUUAACACAUGCAAGUCGAACGGACAGACCCUGCUUUUGUGGGUUGCUCGUUUGGCGAACGCGUGAGUAACACGUGUGUAUCCUCCCCUUGUCUUUCUGGUAACUUCAGGAGACUGCGGCUCAUACCGCAUAGGAUCUCCUGCUGCAUGGUGGGGGUUGGAGAGUUUCGGCGGUUGUGGCUGGACUCGCGGCUUAUCCGCUUGUUGGUGGGGUAGUGGCUUACCAGGGGUUUGACGGGUAGGCGGCAUGGGCGGGUGACCGGGCACAAGGGGCCUGCGAUACGGCGCAGUCUCGAAUGGGAGGCAGCAGUGGGGAACAUUGCAGAGUGGGCGGAAGCGAGAGGUAGCAACCUCGCGUGCGUGAUGACGGCUUUCGGGGGGUAAACAGCUUUGGCAGGUGACGAAGCGGGAGUGACGGUAACGGGUAAAGAAGCAACGGCUAACUACGUG
RNAcentral lists this ribosomal RNA (468 nucleotides) under uncultured bacterium. RNAcentral's name for it is "partial 16S ribosomal RNA". It matches the Rfam family "Bacterial small subunit ribosomal RNA", at positions 28 to 507 of the family's 1533-position model. The record is from RNAcentral.